CUAGCAAAGCCCCAGCUUUUACAGGUUAUUCGCGGCACGGCUCGAGAAGGAAGGUAAAUUCCGAGAGCAAGUGAAGCCCUGCACAACCCCAUUAAGCCUGGGCAAUCCCAUGACAGCGGAGAGGGGGUGAUAGCAGCUGAGGUGGAGGCCGCUCCAGGCCCGGCGGCUUCUCAUUUCUCGCGGCGGGGGACACCCAUCCCCCACCUGCCACACGGCAGGCCCCCCGUCCCUUCCCCCGCUGGGGCGACGGGCUCCGGUCCAGCCGGCUCCUCUCGGAUUGAAAUUCUCCGGACUUCAAAAGCUCCCAGCUUGGCUUCCGCCGGGGCUGGGCUGGCCUGGCCCGGGCCGGAGGGGGGUGGGUGGGAACCCCGGGGAGGCGACGGAGAUAAGAUGCGCGGGUCGUUUUAAAUGGAAUCGGAAGCCGGGCAUAGGCCCCCAGACGCGCGGGUCAGCUGGAACAGCUUCGCUCCUGAAGAAAACCGGGCUCGGAAAAGCGGCGCGUGUGGGGCCUGCCUCCGCAGUCUGCCCGCCCGGCUCGGGGGAGAUGGCCCGCGGCCCCGAUCACCCUCCCCAGCCUGCAGCGGGCCUUUCAACGGCGACAGGGCCCCGAGAAGGGAGAGAGCGAGGAGUCCUGAGCCGGGGGCCAGGAGCUGGCUUGUCGGCUCAGGUGUCGGUGAAAAUGUGAUCAGGAAAAAAAUGUUUUCGCUUCUCUUUGGUUAAAAAGUAAGAACAAAGGGAGCUUCCUUCUAAACAAUAA
Homo sapiens (human) is the source of this 757-nucleotide long non-coding RNA. NCBI's taxonomy places the organism in Eukaryota, Metazoa, Chordata, Mammalia, Primates, Hominidae. The record is from Ensembl.